UACAGGGGGUGCAAACGUUGCUCGGAAUUAUUGGGCGUAAAGCGCGCGUAGGCGGCUACUUAAGUCGGAUGUGAAAGCCCCCGGCUCAACUGGGGAGGGUCACUCGAUACUGAUCGACUUGAAGGCAGGAGAGGGAAGCGGAAUUCCCGGUGUAGUGGUGAAAUGCGUAGAUAUCGGGAGGAACACCCGUGGCGAAGGCGGCCAGCUGGGAUACACCUGACGCUGAGGCACGAAGGCGUGGGGAGCGAACGGG
Molecule: ribosomal RNA, 253 nt
Filed under: uncultured bacterium
Lineage: Bacteria
Description: partial 16S ribosomal RNA
Rfam family: Bacterial small subunit ribosomal RNA
Source: RNAcentral